This 1168-nucleotide long non-coding RNA is filed under the name Anser brachyrhynchus (Pink-footed goose). Its description in RNAcentral is "lncRNA (ENSABRG00000001487.1)". Lineage: Eukaryota; Metazoa; Chordata; Aves; Anseriformes; Anatidae. The record is from RNAcentral.
UUGGAAUCACAGAAUCUGAGUUGGAAGGGACCCACAAGGAUCAUUGAGUCCAACUGCUGGCUCCACACAGGACCACCCAAAAAUCAGACCCUGUGUCUGAGAGUGUUGUCCAAACUCCGGCAGGCUUGGUGCCAUGACCACUGCCCUGGGGAGUCAGUCCCAGUGCCCGACCACCUCUGGGUGCAGAACCUUUCCCUAACCCCCAGCCUGACCCUCCCCUGUCCCAGCUCCAUGCCGUUCCCUCGGGUCCUGUCGCUGUCCCCAGAGAGCAGAGCUCAGCGCCUGCCCCUCUGCUCCCCCCGUGAGGGAGCUGCAGGCCGCCAUGAGGCCUCCCCUCGGCCUGCUCUGCUCUGGGCUGAACAAACCCAGGGACCUCAGCCACUCCUCAUAUGUCUUGCCCUCUAGGCCCUUCACCAUCUUUGUAGCUCUCCUUUGGACACUCUCCAAUAGUUUUGUGUCCUUUUCAUACCAAGAUGCUCCAAACUGCACACAGUACUUGAGGUGAGGUUGCACCAGCACAGAACAGAGCGGGACAAUCACUUCCCUCGACCAGCUAGCUAUGCUGUGCUUGAUGCACCCCCGGGUAUGGUUGGCCAUUUUGGCUGCCAGGGCACACCAAUGACUCCUGUUCUACAUGAGCACGUCAAGGUCUGUAGAGAGGCAAUAUCCUUUAUGCAUAUGGUUACUGCUGCAAAACCAGCAACACGUACAAGGUGCAGCUCUAACAUGAGAUGUGAAAACUGCAAGCUCUCCAUCUGUCCAUUGCCUUCAGAGCCACCGCUUAUAGAUAUCUCCCCCUAUGGCUGUUUUUUCCUUGAUACUGGAGGAAAUUUGGAGGAAGGAGACCUUGAGCCAACAUUCGAAUCACUCAUCUUCUCUAUCUCCCCUGCUCUGGAGGGAGGCAGGCAGAUAUGUAGACCUGCAGUUGCUUUGCCUUUGUACACCUGUGUCAAAAACCACCUGCCGAGUGAUGGCUAGUCCAGAUUUGCCUUUUUAACCACUCCAGACUGAGGGACAGUGUAAGCAGCACAGCAGAACAGUCCUGGGAUUGCUGUUUCAUAGGAAACAGGCUUCAGUGUAGUGGAAGGAAAUGCUAGACCCAUUUAACCAAAUGCUCAAUCUUCAAAGGCAACUCUAAGCAGAGAAUUCUCCUGCUUAUGCAGAUACA